Molecule: ribosomal RNA, 253 nt
Filed under: uncultured bacterium
Lineage: Bacteria
Description: partial 16S ribosomal RNA
Rfam family: Bacterial small subunit ribosomal RNA
Source: RNAcentral
UACGUAGGGGGCAAGCGUUGUCCGGAAUCAUUGGGCGUAAAGCGCGUGUAGGCGGCUCGAUAAGUCCGCUGUGAAAGUCCGGGGCUCAACCCCGGGAUGCCGGUGGAUACUGUCGAGCUAGAGUCCGGAAGAGGCGAGUGGAAUUCCUGGUGUAGCGGUGAAAUGCGCAGAUAUCAGGAGGAACACCAAUUGCGAAGGCAGCUCGCUGGGACGUUACUGACGCUGAGACGCGAAAGCGUGGGGAGCAAACAGG